GGGGGACGGAGAAGGCUAUGUUGGCCGGGCGACGGUUGUCCCGGUUUAAGGGGUAAGGUGUGUGUUCCAGGUAAAUCCGGUUCACUUUAACACUGAGGCGUGACACGAGGCACUACGGUGCUGAAGCAACAAAUGCCCUGCUUCCAGGAAAAGCCUCUAAGCAUCAGGUAACAUCAAAUCGUACCCCAAACCGACACAGGUGGUCAGGUAGAGAAUACCAAGGCGCUUGAGAGAACUCGGGUGAAGGAACUAGGCAAAAUGGUGCCGUAACUUCGGGAGAAGGCACGCUGACACGUAGGUGAAGUGAUUUACUCAUGGAGCUGAAGUCAGUCGAAGAUACCAGCUGGCUGCAACUGUUUAUUAAAAACACAGCACUGUGCAAACACGAAAGUGGACGUAUACGGUGUGACGCCUGCCCGGUGCCGGAAGGUUAAUUGAUGGGGUCAGCGCAAGCGAAGCUCCUGAUCGAAGCCCCGGUAAACGGCGGCCGUAACUAUAACGGUCCUAAGGUAGCGAAAUUCCUUGUCGGGUAAGUUCCGACCUGCACGAAUGGCGUAAUGAUGGCCAGGCUGUCUCCACCCGAGACUCAGUGAAAUUGAACUCGCUGUGAAGAUGCAGUGUACCCGCGGCAAGACGGAAAGACCCCGUGAACCUUUACUAUAGCUUGACACUGAACAUUGAGCCUUGAUGUGUAGGAUAGGUGGGAGGCUUUGAAGUGUGGACGCCAGUCUGCAUGGAGCCGACCUUGAAAUACCACCCUUUAAUGUUUGAUGUUCUAACGUGGACCCGUAAUCCGGGUUGCGGACAGUGUCUGGUGGGUAGUUUGACUGGGGCGGUCUCCUCCUAAAGAGUAACGGAGGAGCACGAAGGUUGGCUAAUCCUGGUCGGACAUCAGGAGGUUAGUGCAAUGGCAUAAGCCAGCUUGACUGCGAGCGUGACGGCGCGAGCAGGUGCGAAAGCAGGUCAUAGUGAUCCGGUGGUUCUGAAUGGAAGGGCCAUCGCUCAACGGAUAAAAGGUACUCCGGGGAUAACAGGCUGAUACCGCCCAAGAGUUCAUAUCGACGGCGGUGUUUGGCACCUCGAUGUCGGCUCAUCACAUCCUGGGGCUGAAGUAGGUCCCAAGGGUAUGGCUGUUCGCCAUUUAAAGUGGUACGCGAGCUGGGUUUAGAACGUCGUGACAGUUCGGUCCCUAUCUGCCGUGGGCGCUGGAGAACUGAGGGGGGCUGCUCCUAGUACGAGAGGACCGGAGUGGACGCAUCACUGGUGUUCGGGUUGUCAUGCCAAUGGCACUGCCCGGUAGCUAAAUGCGGAAGAGAUAAGUGCUGAAAGCAUCUAAGCACGAAACUUGCCCCGAGAUGAGUUCUCCCUGAGACUUAGAGUCUCCUGAAGGAACGUUGAAGACGACGACGUUGAUAGGCCGGGUGUGUAAGCGCAGCGAUGCGUUGAGCUAACCGGUACUAAUGAACCGUGAGGCUUAACCUU
RNAcentral lists this ribosomal RNA (1482 nucleotides) under Salmonella enterica subsp. enterica serovar Typhimurium. Its description in RNAcentral is "bacterial LSU rRNA". It matches the Rfam family "Bacterial large subunit ribosomal RNA", at positions 1467 to 2925 of the family's 2925-position model. Lineage: Bacteria; Pseudomonadati; Pseudomonadota; Gammaproteobacteria; Enterobacterales; Enterobacteriaceae. The record is from RNAcentral.